Non-coding RNA from Lemur catta (Ring-tailed lemur), 74 nucleotides. NCBI's taxonomy places the organism in Eukaryota, Metazoa, Chordata, Mammalia, Primates, Lemuridae. The record is from the annotation of a RefSeq genome assembly.
GCCCUCUUGGCGCAGCCGGCAGCGCGUCAGUCUCAUAAUCUGAUAGGUCCUGAGUUUGAACCUCAGAGAAGGCA